Molecule: long non-coding RNA, 4161 nt
Organism: Mirounga angustirostris (Northern elephant seal)
Lineage: Eukaryota; Metazoa; Chordata; Mammalia; Carnivora; Phocidae
Exons: 5
Source: RefSeq, a predicted model, not a curated record
CCUUCCUGGAAUCCAGGAAACGAAGGAAGACUUGGGCAGGAGCCCCCAGGGGCCUGACAGCCCCCCCCCCCCCCGUCUUGCUGCAGGACUCCUGGCCCCGGUCCGGGCCCUGCCCCAGUGCAGGGGUGCUCACGGGGAAGGCCAGCGGGGCUUCCUGCCCUUCACACCCUGGCUGCCUCCAUGCUCCCUGCAGCACAGCAGUGGCCUCCCUGCUUUGGGCUGGCCCCAUCCACUCUCGGCCCGGCUGCCUGGAUUAGAGCCGUUUACUAGUCUCUGAUGCUUGGGGGAUCAGAUCUUCAAAAACUUGACCCACAGAGAGGUGGUUGCACAGAUCGGUGGAGAAAGGACGCCCGUCUGGAAACAGGGUUUGCAGAAAGCAGGACCUGGAGGGAGACUGAGAAGACCGUCCACGGCCCGAAGACCCAAAGCUGAAGAAAUAAGAACAUUUCUGGGGGCCUGAAGGCACCCUGAGCCGUGGCCCUGAGCCUGCUGUGUCUCGUGGAGACAGUACCUACAAAAGGAGGCGCCCAUCUCAACACUGUGGGCAAGCUGGCCAGGGAGACGCCGUCCUCCUCCCAGCCCGUCUCCUUUCGCAUUAGUUGCCCAGACCCGGUUUGUGAGUGCUGGCGGCAGAAAGAACUGAGGAUGGCCUUCUCACCACGGCUGUGACCCCGAGCCCCCAUUUCACAGGGCCAUCACAUCUCUGGGAGCUUCUGUUUCCCCACCAGCCACGUGGAAAUCCCAGCUCUUGCCCCCGCCCUCCCCCGCCACUGCCGAGAGUGGAGAGAGGCGCCGUGUAAACUGUAAAGUGCUGUGCAGCAGGAAGCAGGGCUCCUCUCUGAGGCAGCCCCAGAGCACCUGCCGCUUCUCCAGGCUGGCGCCCGCCACCUCCCCCUCCUGCACGCAGCUGCCCUCCCCGCGGACUUGCUCAUCCUCCGGCCACGUGAGCUGAUGGGGAAGGUGAGGCAGGCGUGAUGAUGACCCGAGUGCAGGACGCAGCCUCUGCACAGCGCCAGCCUCGUGGGGAGUGUCCCCCCCCAGGAGGCCCAGACAUGAGCGGCAGGCGGGCAGGGCGUAGGAGCUGAGGAGUCCCCGGCUGUGCCCGUGAAAUCAGUGCCCCGCGUGGGGUGGCCAGGGUGCCUCGGGGGCCGGAGGUCGGGACAGCCACCCCGACAGGCUCUCACGGUGCCAGCCCCCGGCGGCCUGGGGGAUUAUGACUUAUUGUUUUUAAAGUGCCCUGUUGUUAUUUUCUGAUUACCAAAGCGAUACACGCUCAUGAUAAAGACCUUUAAGCACCGAGUGGGUGGUUAUGAGCUGGCUUCAGGGAUGGGGAGGUGACGCACUGCAUCGAGAUUCAUCAGUAUCAGCAGCAGGAGGACAAAAAGGAUUUAGUCAGCUUCCCCCGGGGACACAGGAGGGUAGGGAGGCUGGCAGACAGACGGGGUCUGCACCCUGGCCCCUCCCAACCUAAAGUUGACCCCAAAUGCUGGUGUUUUCUGCACAACAUUGGUGGGGGCAGGAGUGGCGACAGGAGCGGGCGUGGUCCCCAGCGCUGCUUCAGCUCUUGCUUUUCUGGGUGGGGGAGACAAGGGCUGGGCUGUCCUGGUCCCCUGGGGCGCCCUGGGUUAGGGGAGGCUGCUCAGAGCUGGUGGGUGCAUUCUGGGCUGGCGUGCGUGAAGCAGGGGUCCCGCGGGGGGUGUACCCUGUGUUUCUGGGGCCCUACUUUUCAGGCUGAGCCCCUCCCUACAGCCCACGGGUCACUAUGUUCAUUCUCAUGCAGUCUCACCAUGGGCUGCUGAUGUGGACAUUGCAACCCCAUUUUACAGGCGAGGAACGGAGGCCUGGGAGCGAAAUCCACACAUUACUCCAUAGUUGAGUUUGAUCUGAACCUGGUGUUGUCUGGCAGCAGAAGCCCCUGUUCUCUCCAGUUCAUCGUGCUGCCUUGCAGGAAAGCGGGUCAGGCAGGCCGGGGUCAGUGGCUCGGAGGUCGGAGGAGGCCGGCCAGGUCUGCCGUCAGACCUGCAGCUGAGACCCACUCUUCCCAUACUGCUUUGGGGUGGAUGGCACAGCUUGGUGCUAAGAGCAGGGAUUCUGCCUUCAGACUGCUCAGGUCUGAAUUUCAGUUCUGCUGAGUACUAGCUGUGUGCCCUUGGCCUCUCUGAGCCUUAGUUCCUCAUCUGGAAGAACGGAUGAUGAGCACCCUACUCCUGAGCUGCUGUGAGGAUUGACUGAGGUGGUCUGUGGGUCUGUGGAGGCUGGCGGUGAUCAUGGAGGCAGGGUGGAACAGGGUUAAGAAUGUCCACCUCAGAGCGAGACCCAUCUUAACUCGAAGAGGUCACCCCUUCCUGGCUGGGGUACUGAGGAAGUACCGGGCUGGGUGCUUGGCCCAGAGCCUGGCACAUGGCUGCGCCCCACAGGGUGGUGAUGGCGUCCCCACUGUCUUUCUUUUCUAUUCCCAUACUCACGAGGCUGCUAGCAAGCCAUGCCUCCCCCCAGGCCGGUCAGAAGGACUCUCAGGUGCCCUAAUGUCCACCGGGACUCCAGGAAGCACCUAGAACCAUUGCUGGGUUCUUGGGACCUGAGUCAAGUUCCUGCACAUUCUUUUUCUGGUCAGACCUCAGCCAGGACUCAUUUUGGGUCUAAGGUCCUGGCCUGGGUGUUGGAGCCCCACUGUCUGCCUGGGGGACUUCCCUGGCCCUGGGAUCCCCCUGCCUGCUGCCUGCAUCCCUCCUGCCUGCAGGGGCAGCCUCCUCCUCUGCCCUCUCAGGGGUCAUUCCAAGCCCUUUCCCACCUCCCAGCACCUUGCCCGCACUCAGCUCUCCAGGCCCUGACCUUACGACAUGAUGCUGCUGCCCCUCUUUGGGGAGCAGGGGCUCCCAGAACCCAGGGAUCACCAGACAGUGGGUGUGACCUCCGGGCACCUAACUUGUUUUUCCUGGUGCCCUCUUGCGGACUGCAUUCCAUCAGGUCUGACACACAUUUCUUCCAGGCCUUGGUGUGACCCUUUGGGCGAAGGUGACCAGAUUGAGGGAAACUCCCCCCAAGCCCCUGCAGUGAGCUGGAUGCUGUGCCCCGGGUCUGGCCCACAGAAGGUCUCUGGUGUUCCAAAGGGCCCAGGGAUGGACACACUUGGCAGGCUUAGAGAUGCCUGGGUUCUGCGCCAGGGAGGAGAGCUUGGGAAAAGUGUGUCAGAAGGGGUCUGGGUGCUGAGAAGAGAGGAGCCCAAGUGCAGAACUCUGGUGGGCGCUGCAGUCAGCACUGGGUGCCUCAAGGGGGCCCUUAGAGUCUCCGGUUGGGACACUUUACAGGGGUGUUGCAGGUGCUUGAACAACUUACCUCCAAGUUACCUGUUUUCUGUUGCUUCGUUGGUGCUGGUGAAACCAAAUUUGCUGGCUUCCUUGGGUUUUGCUGUGUGUUUUACUGUUUGGCUAAUUAAUCUUGGUCUGACACAUUUUCUCUGUUGAAGAAAACAUUCAUGGGUGUUCGGCAUGAAAAAUACCAUUGCUGGAUUUUCGGGCCCCUCCAAACAUUUAGGAGAUGCUUGUCAAAGCUGGGCUGGGUGUGAAGUCCCUCUCCGGGCCAGGCCCAGCUCGGAACCACCUCUGACCCAGAGUCUAGCUGGAGGCUGGCAGGGGGCAGGUGACAUGUGUUUGUUGAGUGAAUAGACGACCUGGAUGGGGGCCGGGGGUCCUGAGAAGGCGAGAGGAGCCGGGCGGGAGGAUGCGGCCACAUCAGUCCCACACCUUUGCAAAAAGGGUGCAUCUUAGUGUAUAAGUGUGUCUUAUUUAUUUGAAAUCAGACAGUAGUUCUUGAAGAGUCUCAUAAAAAUUAAAAUUAAUGAAAUCCAAGUCCCCUUUGAUCCUGUCCCUGGUGCGCUCACUGUUUGGUUUUGGCGCACAUUUCAUCAGACUUUCCUUGUGUGACUUGCAUACAAGCAUGUGUCUAUACAAACGCAUCGUCUGAGUUUUGUGCCUCUGUGUGCCUGCCUUUAAAUCAAAUGGUGUCAUUCCGUACGUAUCACCCCGUAAACUGCCUUUUCCCUCGAGCAAACUACAUCUUGGAGAUCUGCCCUGCGACCUGCUACCGCCUCGCAGGACCUGGAGCUGCAGUGGCUGGCCACAACGGGGAUCCUCGCAUCCCUUUUACGGGUGAGGAAGUCAA